RNAcentral lists this RNase P RNA (337 nucleotides) under Clostridiales bacterium 43-6. RNAcentral's name for it is "RNase P RNA component class A". It matches the Rfam family "Bacterial RNase P class A". From Rfam's summary of the family: Ribonuclease P (RNase P) is a ubiquitous endoribonuclease, found in archaea, bacteria and eukarya as well as chloroplasts and mitochondria. The record is from RNAcentral. Lineage: Bacteria; Bacillati; Bacillota; Clostridia; Eubacteriales.
CGAGUAAAUUGUGCAGUCGCGCUUAUUUUAGAUAGGUGAGGAAAGUCCGAGCACCACAGAGCAGGAUAACGGCUAACCGCCGCCGAGGGCGACCUUAGGGAAAGUGCAACAGAGAUAUACCGCCUUGCUUAGGCAGGGUAAGGGUGGAAAGGCGAGGUAAGAGCUCACCGGCACAUUGGAGACAAUGUGGCCCUGUAAACCCUAUCCGGUGCAACAUCGAUAAAGGACGAUACGUCUGCUCGGCGUGUCUUUGACGGAUGGCUGGAGCUUAAGGGCAACCUUGAGCCAAGAUAGAUGAUUGCGUAAACAGAACUCGGCUUAUAGAUUUACUCGCUUU